RNAcentral lists this long non-coding RNA (27390 nucleotides) under Capsella rubella. Its description in RNAcentral is "long non-coding RNA (CRUB_LNC002679)". The record is from RNAcentral. Lineage: Eukaryota; Viridiplantae; Streptophyta; Magnoliopsida; Brassicales; Brassicaceae.
UUUUUUUUUUUUUUUUUUUUUUCUAACCUCACACAAUGUUUCUAUGAAUGUAUAGUAAUAUACAAAUAAAAUGAAUGACUACUUUACAUAAAUCUUCUAAUUAAGUCCUACAAGAAUGCACAAUCCUAUGGGUCAAAACGUGUCACACUUGUUGUUGUUGUUGUUGAACAACUAAAACCGAAACAUUAGAGUUGAGAUCUUUAGCUGCAAGCAAAUCCCCAAUGACACCUAACUCUGGUAGUUCAACCCACUCCAUUAGUCCUAACAAUUCUUUUGAUGUCAUAUCAUGAUCUCUCCCGACCACCAUAAGAUCGUACACUUCCGCUAGCGAUCGGACAACGGUGACUACCUCAGCACCACUGGUCACAAUCCUUUCUGUAUAAACAAUGUCAUUGUUUUCUUCUGGAACCUUUAUAUCCUUUAAACCUUCAUUAUCCAAAAUGUAAUCCCAAUCUGGCUUUGCUUCUUGCUUAAAUACAAGUCGGGUCACGGUUACACUGACCCUCGUGUUAUGUUUCAUCUUUUUCACCAGUGCUAGUGCCUCUCGGUCAUCUUUGCCACCAAUGAAUAUCACACCAACAUCAAUGUUGUAUUUUUUUUUACUCGAUACAAUGCUUUUCCGUGAGAACUGUCCACGGUCCACUAGUAUGCCUAUAGAACAAGGUGCACGGUCUAGCAAUGACUGGUUUAAAUUUCUUAUGGCAUUGUCGUCAAACUCAAACAUCCCAUCCAUGGUCCAUUUCCUCCCCGAGGGAAGAACAAUCAUCGAUGUAGACUGGUCAAGUGCGAGUGUGCAAAUAUCUUCGUGCAUCAAGUUCUCAUGCGAAAACGCGGUGAACGUUGUCACGGUUACGGACUCUAAGCUUUCUAGCAUGAACUGUCUGAAAGCAAGGUUUGCCGUAUGGAUGUAUGAGUUGUGGUUAAGCCGUUUCAAGUUCUUGUUGUGUGGUACCAUGAUUGGGUUGAUCUGACCAGCGAGCUUCACCAGGUGAAGAACUGUGACCGCCAUGGGAAAGUCUAGGUUUGGAGAAGAUAACAAUUGGAGAAAUGCAAUGGUCUCCGAGACGUUUUCAGGUUUAUGCAAACAAGUUAGAAUUCGAAGAUCGGAGUUAGGUUCAAGAUGCAAUAUGUCCCUCUUCUGAUAAUUAACGUACUUUCGUUUCGGGUCGUACAUGCUCCUUAACACCAUAGGGACAAUCCCAGCGUUUAGUAGCGAAAAAAUGAUCAAGAAGGCGUAAGUGGCUUGCGAUAUAUACUGCAAAAGUAAAUGAUAAAAAUAUGUUUUAGAUGAAGGAAAAUAAAAAUCAUAGAUUGGUUUGUGGGGGUAAGACAUUACCUUGUCGUCUAAAACAGCUUCAUAGAGAACAAAAUCAUGGAAACUUUUGUAGCUCAAGAUGAGAGAAACAGCCAUUGAUUCAUUAAGAGGUAGCUUGUAGUACAAGGAAGGUCCAAAGCAUGAGACUAGUUUCAAGAAAAGUGUUAGGAAUGUUAAGAAGAUGUUGAAGAAGAUGUCAUUGAACUGGUUAUAGAUACUUAUUCCAUCACAUCUCAUCGCGCUGACUGUGAUUGAGAUUGGUAAGAACACGUUCAUUGUGAGCUUCUCGUACUUGGCCUCUAGGGCAGAUCCUAAGGGCGGACCUUCCGGUAUGAUGAGACCGAUCAUUAACGGUCCUAAGAUGUACUUCAUGUUAAAGAACACAAAAUAAGCCGCAGAGGCCAAUGCGGUUAUAAUCACGACGUCAACGUACAUAUUCUCCACGGGCUUGUCUUCAGGUGUGCGGUCUAUGAUCCAUUGCACGGCCGGUUUAAAAACAAGAAAGACGAUGAGAAGGAAGAUGAUCACCGCGAUAAAGUCACGAUAGGCUGUUAGAUGUGAAACAUGCGUGUAGGUCGCCUGAAGAGAAGCGAGUACCAUGGAAAAUAUCCCCAAGAUGUCGUUAAUGAUAGAUGCUGACAACGCAAGGCGGCCAAGCUCAGAGUUGAGUAUCUUGAGCUCUAGUAAAAUAUAUGUUGUAGAAGGUAAAAGUAUAGCAGAUUGGGUUAUGAUGAUCGCAGUGCGCUCGCCCAAAGCUUUAUCUAGCGGCAUGUAGUGAGGAUCAAUGCUAUCAGAGAAAAGGUUUUGUAAACCUAGACCGAACAAAGGAACAAAGAAGGAUACAAUCCCGAUCACGACGGGCAAUUUCCCGCUAUGGAAGGCCACUCGUCGGCUGGUUCUAACGGUCAUCAAAAACGUAAACAUUAUGGUUCCAAACACCGAGAUGCUUCUUAACAUCGCGGAUCCAUCCAAGGCAGGAUCCACAGAUAAUUUUCUUGAAGAUCUCUCUAGUACAUUGAAUAGCUGAGGCCCUAGAACUAUUCCAGCCUGCAUGCACAUAAAUUUACGUAAUAAGAAUUCAUUUUUAGAAAGCUUUCUUCUAUAGUCGUUAAACAUUAUUUACGUGCAUGUCAAGUUACGUACGUACAUCUAGUUUUGUUUUCCUAAAAACCACAAAUCUCUUAUGUGUACGUGUUUUGUCAAGUUACAUACAAGGAAAGAUGCUUACCAUCAUAUAGGAAGCGAUCGGGGAUAUGCCUAAGCGUCUGAGGAACAUGUGAGACAUGACAAUGGCGAAGAAUAUAACUAGUAUUUGCAUCUCCAAGAGAGGCAACGAGUACUCGAAAAUCACAUCAGGCGAAUUUAGGUUCUCGAACAAUCCUUGAGAAGAGAUGUUGAAGAACGAUACACGGCAAUCACCACUCAGGUAGAUAGUCGUAUCGUCCAUGAAUUCACACCGUAGAAUUUGGGAUCAAAAUUUUGUGUAAAUUAUGUUUCUUGAGUCUUUGAAUUUUGGUUUUCAAAGGAUUUUUCCAUUUGUGAAGUUUAGGUUAAUUUCUUGUUCUUUUGGUCUUUGUAAAGUAUCUGUCAAAAAACUUUUUCUAUGGAGAAUUUGCUUUGCUAAAUUAAAGUGAAAGCUAAGGUUUAAUUUGAUACAAUUUUUUCUUCCCCUAAAUUAGCUUAAAGUGUCUGUCUGGAGACCCCAAGGUUAGGAGGUUUUAGAUAGCUUGUAAUCCAAAUUUACGAUCAAAUUCUUGAAAUAUAUUUUUUAACUGCUCUAAUCUAUCCUAAGUUUAUAAUUUUUUUGCCUUAACUCUCAAGAUAACACUUUGUAAAGUUAUUUAUUUUUUUGUCUAAUAAACUAAUAAAAUUAGUGAUCACAUUGGUGGUAAAAAGUUGGCUUGAAGUGGGCUGGCAUUUGUAUUACUAGAUUUAGUAUUUUCUAUAUUUACAACUAAUCAUCAUAUUAAGAAUGAAUGAAGAAACCUAAUGUUGUUUAUUACACAACUUACUUAAUGGGCCUUAAGAUUCAAUAUACAUCAUCGGCCCAUUUAACAUCUCGUAUAAAUAACCCUAAAGUUUUCCAUAACCUUUUCCAUCAAAUUCAAUCUACGUUUCUCCUCUCUCAUUAUAUCAUCAGCCACGAAACAACUCUUCUCUCUCUCUCUCGAUCCGAUUUUUUUACUAACGCUUCAUUCUCUGCAGGAUCUGUUUAAUUACGUUUCGUUUCUAAUUUUAGAUCUUCUCUAACCCGUUUCGUUAACCAAUCGCUAUACAUCGUCGUUGUUGUUUUUUCUUUUGUGAUUUUUGUAUAAUGGAUUCAGGUAUGAACACUUCUUCACACUUGAAGGCGCAAGCUCGAUGCCCACUUCAACGAAGCUAUCUCCCCAAGAAAACUUCCAAAGAAAACGUAAGUAUCUUUAAAAUUUAGGGUUUUGAAUUUUGUGGGUUUUGCUCUGUUCUUCAGGAUUUAGGGUUUCGAACUUGCUUUGCUUUAAAAACAUCAGUUCCGUCAAAACAUUAGUCUUUCAUACAAUUGGUUUUGUCAUAAACCUUGUCGUGUCGUAAAAAUCGCUUCUUGAUGAUGAAUUGUGUCUUAAGAAUCGUGUCUUGAUGAUGAAUUGUCGUAAAUAUCGAUUUAUUGAUGAUGUGUUGUCAUAAAAAUCGUGUCUUGAUGAUAAACUGUCGUAAAAAUCUUUACUUGAUGAUGAAUUGUCGUAAAAAUCGUUUCUUUGAUGAUGUGUUUCAUAAAAAUCGUUUCUUGAUGAUGAAUUGUACUAACUGAGUUUGUUUUGUAUGUUUUCACCAGUGGGACAGAUUUAUACCAAACAGAUCAGCUAUGGAUUUUGACUAUGCUCACUAUGCGCUUACCGAAGGAAGAAACGAGAAAGACCAGGCAACAAAGGUAAGUACUUCACCAUCAAGAGAAGCCUACAGGAAACAAUUGGCUGAGACGAUGAAUCUGAAUCGCUCACGGAUCCUUGCCUUCAGGAACAAACCUCAAGCUCCAGUGGGAUCUCUUCACAAACUUCACUCUGUUUCUUGGCUUGACCAACAGCCUAAACCUUUAAAGCCGCGUAGAUACAUCCCUCAGACUUGGGAGAGAAUGUUGGAUGUACCUGACAUUGGGGAUAACUUCUAUCUUAACUUGCUUGACUGGGGCAGUGCUAAUGUUUUAGCCAUUGCGUUGGAUCAUACUGUUUAUCUGUGGGAUGCUUCUACAGGUUCUGCUUCUGAGCUUAUGAGUGUUGAUGAAGAGAAGGGGCCUGUCACAAGUAUCAACUGGGCACUAGAUGGUUGUAAUCUUGCAGUUGGGCUUGACAACUCUGAAGUCCAGAUUUGGGAUUGUGUCACAAAACGUAAACUGAGAACGUUAAAGGGUGGCCACCAGGAAAGAGUAGGAUCAUUGGCGUGGAACAGUCAUAUCUUAACAACGGGAGGAAUGGAUGGGAAGGUCAUCAACAACGAUGUACGAGCUAGAUCACAUGUUGUGCAAAGUUACAGGGGUCACACUUUAGAAGUUUGCGGGUUGAAGUGGUCAGGAUCUGGACAGUAUUUAGCAAGUGGUGGAAAUGACAAUGUGGUUCAUGUAUGGGACCGUUCUUCUUCUACACAAUGGCUGCACAGGCUUGAGGAACACACAUCUGCAGUUAAAGCUCUUGCUUGGUGUCCUUUCCAAACGAAUUUACUUGCAACUGGUGGCGGUGAUGGAGAUAGGAUGAUAAAGUUCUGGAAUACUAGUACAGGAGCUUGCUUGAACUCGGUAGAAACUGGCUCUCAAGUUUGUUCUUUGAUAUGGAGCAAGAAUGAAAGAGAGUUGCUUAGCUCACAUGGUUUUACUGAGAACCAGCUUACUCUUUGGAAGUACCCAUCCAUGGUGAAAAUGGCUGAGCUGACUGGUCAUACAUCACGCGUUCUAUACAUGGCUCAGAGUCCGGAUGGUUGUACCGUAGCUUCAGCAGCAGCGGACGAGACUCUGAGGUUUUGGAAUGUUUUUGGAGUACCAGAUAAAGCCAAAAAAGCUGCUGUCAAAGCAGUACCUGUGCCAUUUUCUAAUGUGACUCGUAUUCGCUGAAACUGUUGUGAAGCCAUUGUCUUUUUGUAUUUGCCACACAAGAGAAAUAUGCAGAAUCAUAUUAAAUUGUUGAGUCUCUACCUGAAACCAUUGUAUUUCUAACUAUGAAUAAUCAUGAAGUUAACUUUUUGGCCUUUUAAUUUUAAAAAUUUUGUUUGGAUUAAUUAAGUUGUUUAUUUGAGCAUAUAAAUUUUUUUAAAGUUUCAAAAUAUUUUAAUAUUUUUGAAAUCUUUAAAAUAUUCAAAUAUAAAAAAUUAUAGAAUAUUCGUUUUAACUGGAUUCCUAGAAAGCUCAACAAUCUUGCAGAUUGUCUUGCAAAACUUCAACGUUUUUCUAUUUCUGAUUUUGUUUACCAUCACUCUAUCCCUUCUGUUAUUCUUGAUGCUGUAAACAAUGACUAUUCUAGUCUUUAUUAAUAUAUUGCAGAUCUGUGUUAAAAAAAAAAAAUUAUAGAAUAUUUAAAAUAUUAUGCAACGGGUCAAAAUAUUUUUGCAACGGAUCAGAACCUGAUACAAACCACUUAAGUUUUACAAUUAAAUAUUUUAUAAUACCAAAAUAAAUUAUAUGCAAAAAAAUUCAUUCUUACGGGUCAUUAAGAACAUAACUAAAUCAAAUUUUAACAAUGGUACAUACAAAAUCUUAUUAACGAAGCAUACUAUUCAAAUAUUAAUUAAAUCGAAUUUAGAAUACAAAUAAGUUUUACUGAUAAACUAUGUAAUGUAUCAAGCUAUACAAAAAUUCAUGAGUUAUUUUGUUAAACUCACAAUUAUAUAGUAGAACGAAUAAUCAAUAAUAUUUUUACGAAUGCAAUUAGUUACAGUUUGGUCAUUCAAAACAUAUAUCUGUUACAGACAUGUAUGAUUCACCAUAACCAACUCCAUUUACUUAACACAUCUACAUACACUAACCAUACUCACUAUUGUUUUUGGAUAAUAUUCAAUAUAAACUUAUUAGAAAAAUUAGUUACCAAAAUCAUAAUAUAAAAAUGAUAUAUUCGUAAAAAAACAAAUUUUGAAAUACAUAUGUAUCAUUUUUUUGUCGAGGUUUAGUAAAUUAAAACCUAUUAACAAUAGUUCGAUAAUUUUCCUCUGCGCUGUAGCGCGGAUCCGAUUCUAGUAUAUCUUCUUUAAAGAUUUUGAUUUUCUAUGAACGACAGAUAAUACUAUAUUCUUAAGAACAGUCACAUAUAAAUUCUUCUAAAGUUUAGUAACAAUGUAACAUAUACAUUCAUAAGGAAAAUAGUUAAUUUUAAAAAUUAAAAUAUUUUCCUCAGUUUUCUAAUAAAUCAUUUUUUGUACUUAAAUAAUAUUUAUUAUAAAAAAUGAAUUAUUAGAAAAGUGAGGAAAAUAAUUUAAUUUUUUUUUGCUAAAACGUAUUAGUUUGUAAAAACAUAAAAAAUAUUAUACAUAUACACAUACGCACUUAUAUGAGUAUCAUUUUCCCAUUGGUAAGCUUCGUUAAUGUGUUAGUAAAAGAAUAAAAUAAGUAUAAUCAUGACUUGUAGGGCAUUAAACGAAAAGAAAAAAACAAGAUUUUCUCGUACAAUCGAAAUUUUUCUUGUCUGAAAAAAGAAAGAAAAGAAAAAAAAAGUAAUUUAGUAGUCCUGAAAUAAUUUGUAAGCAACACCAAGUUAUUUGGCCUUUUGCUUUAAGGUAAAGACCAAUUGAAUAGAGACUAUACAAUCUAAUAUAAUAUAACCACUCUUAACUUUUCCCUUAAGUAUGAUUAAUCAUAACCAUUAGUACAUGAAUAUAUAUUAUUAAAUUGCAUUACAUAAGAGUAAGUUAUUGAGUUUUUUGAAGCAUAAUAGCAUAUGAUACUACAAUUAGCACAAGUGAAAUGACCCUCGCAAUACUUAUGAUGGUACGCAUGUAGAUUUCCUUGAGCACUUCGUUCCUAAAUUAUACAUAUACAAAUAUAUUUUUGUAUGUAAUUAUCCUAAUCUUGAACAAAUUUUUCUCCACUGAUUGAUAAAUAAGUUAUAUUUGUUAAUAAGAUUCUAUCUCACUAUUUGUUGUUCUAUUUAUAAUCAAAUUCCGCGGUUUAUUUAUUAUUUUAAACAUUAAAAAAAUCUUACAAAAAUACAAAACACUGUCGAAAUAUUAUAUGUCUAUCUAUCAUCCGAAAAAUCGGUUUCUAGGAAACUAACCAACUCAAAACAAGUAAGAUAUAUAACGAAUCUAAAUUUCGAUAAUCGAUUUAUAUCCGUAUUUGAACAUGAUUUUGGAAUAUCAUAAGUCUACCGUUAACAAGAUUAAUGGUGGUCUCUUAGCCAUAUUUUAAAUUAAUAAAAUUGAAAAGAUUAUGCAAGCAUGUAUAGUACUUCAGAAAUAUGAUAGUAGAAGAUGAACGAGAUAUGUAUACUCAGUUUGAUGUCACUGAAUUCGAACAAGCGGAAUCUGCCAGAUAUACACGGGUGGCUUUCACAUAUUCUACAAAAUGCCUUCAAAUUUUGUUGAUAUGAUGGCUAAUAGAACUCGAUUUCGUGAUCGAGCUAUGCAUCAGCAAUUGAAAAAGGAUUUGGUCGAUCAUAUAUGGACAAAUUUUUUUAUAAAUCAAGUGUAAAACUAUUGUGCUUUAAGUUAUUUAUAUUUUAAAUACCUCAUGUAUGUUUUAAAAUUUCUCAUUUACAAUAAUUAUUAACUUUUCUAAAAUUACAAUUUUUAUUUUUAUUUUAUUUUUAAAUCAAUAUAUUGUUUUCCUAAAAACCCCAAAUUAAGAGCCUACCAUUAAAGUUACCUAAAAACUAAAAACAAAAAUACAACUCUUAACUCUUAAUUUUCCUAAUUUAAAAAUAAACUAUUCCUAAAAACAAAAUUUAGCCUAUUGAUAAUGUUGCUCUUAGACUCUCUUAAUAUCAUAAAUAAACAAGAAUCUUGGAUGAAUCUUUUUGAAUGACCAAAUGGGAGAAACUUAAUUAAACAACAACAAAAAAUAAAUUAGGAGAGGCCCAUGCUAAUAGACAGAAGAUCUGGUUUUAGAUCUUCAGGACCCAACCAAAAAAAAAAACAUCAAAUCCUUUUUGGUGGUUGGCUUACCCUUCGACUUUUUGGUUCCCACUUCUCACCCAUCUCCAUUGAAAAAAAGCAAUUAUUUAACAUUGCAUUAACAUACCUUAAAUUAAACUUUUUUGUUGUCAAUAUACUUUUGAAGUUUCCAAAUCACAAGACAAAAUAUAGACAUCUUAAGCCAAUCAUAGACAUCAUAUUCCAUUUCACUAGUAUAAAUCUCCAAUAAAUCUUUAGUAUUUUACACCAAGGGAAAUGAACAUAGAUGAUAACAAAUUGGAAAAAAACAAAACAUCCCAAUAGUUUUACAUUCAUGGAGCCAAAACAUGGAUGUGUAAUUGGGUUUAGGAAACAAAACAAAUCAAUCAGCAAAACAAAAAGAAAAGCAAAUAAGCAAAACUCUCACACUUGGUAAAAAAAAAAAACUCAAGUUUGAGUUUUUGAGUUAAACCAGGGGAGUUUCAUUCCCAUCACUCUCUAAAUCUAAACCCUAAAUGGAUCAGAUUCACACUCUCCUCACAAACUUUAAAAUCAAGCUCUAUCUACAACAAACUGACUAAAAAAGAUCACUCUCACUAGAACCCUAAUACUGAAAGUGAUCUGUGUAUUGGUAUAUUAGAAGACUAUAUAUUAGUACUUUUGUUGAGUAAGGAGAAAAAUAGAUCAGUAGCAGCUCGAUCCGGCGUAGUUUCUUGUUAAUGGAGAAGAACUUUCUGAUACUUAGUUUCUGAGUAUGUUUCAUCUGAGAUUGAGAAUGCCCUUUUCUUGUUGGUGUUACCACAACCAUUGUUCUGAAACUGAGGUGGUGGGAUGGUGACUGGAGGGAUCUCAGAGGUCUCAAGUGGUGGUGGAGGAUGACGCCAUUGAGGUAAAGGACCGGCUAAGAGAAGUGUCUGAAGCAAAGGACCAGCCUUGAUAACAGCUUGUAAGAGUUUUCCCUUUUCAGGAAGUGGCUUUUCAGGUAACAAUGUAGCCAUCAUCUCAUCUCCUGAGACUUCAAUUUGUUGUUGGUUCAUCAUCACCGGAUCGAUUACUGAUGGUGACAUUAUGCUCUCUUCGGUGUCUGAAGACGAAAAGCUCUUGUUGGAGUUAAGCUGAGGCUGAGGCUGAACUUGCUCGUCUUCAAUAAUACUUGAAGCUCCAGAUAAAGGAGGAGUGAUAAGUUCUUGUUUCUGAUUCUGAUGUUGUUUCUGUUGAAGCAAGAGAUUGUUGAUGAUGAGAUGAUGACAUUUCUCUAACGCUUCGUCUCUUUCUUUGAGGGUUUUGGUUAAAACAUCUUCAAGAUGGAUUAAUUGUUCAUCUCUCUUCCUUAGUUCCUCUUGAGCCACGAGCUUCGUUUGUUCUAGCUCUAGUGUAGUGUACACAAGAGUCUGUCUUAACUCUUCCGUUGUCUAAACAAAUCAACAGAGAAACACAAAACAAUCAGACAGAGAAACAGAGAAAACCACUAAAAAUUUGAGCUUUCAUUUACAGAUUCAUAUCACAAUUAGGGCUUUUGGCUACAAAUGACAAGCGCAGAGACACCCAAGUUUCCCAAAAAUCUCGUCUUUUUUACAUCUAAUUUACAAACAGAACAUGCAGAUUCAUAUCAAAAUUAGAGCUUUUGGUCACAAAUUAAGCAAAAUUUCUUCAAAGUCUUGUCUUUUCCGACUAAUUUACACACAAAAAUGUGAAAUUUAAGCUAAAAAACUAAGAUUAAGAACACCCAUUAUACAGAAUCAAGCUAAGAAAUUGAUGAAUGUAUAAAAUUCCAAGUGUAAUUCGAGUAACCCAGUUACAGAGUAUGAAACUUGACUUUGGUUAAAGGUUCGGUUUUUAAUACACAAACAAAGAAGAAGACACAAGAAAUUCAUGAUUUUGGACACACAUUAUGCGUAGAUCUAAGCAAAACAGUGGACACAAUGCAAGAAAACAGAGGAAACAGAGGAUACAGAGAAAAAAAGUCUAUACCUUUCCAUGAGAGAAGUAAGCCCAGCUAAGAAGAGCAUUGCUUUGGUCCAUGUUCCUUACUAAAACUGAAGCUAAACUAAGAGAUGUUUAGAUUAUGUAAACAAGUGUGAGGAGAGAGCAAAACAGAGAAGAACAGAGAGAGAUGGGUUAAGUGGAGAGGAGUAAGUAAGAGAGGAGAGUUAUAAAAGUAGUGAAGAAACUUCAUGGACUGCUUUAUGGAUGUGCCUGUCAUAUAGAGAGCUUUCAACAUCUUUUUACCUUCAGUAUCCAAUAUAUUCUACAAAAGUUGAUAACCCCACCCAAAAUUUUCUAUUAUUGUUUUCAUUUUUUUCUUUUAAUAUUAAUUCAUUAGGGUUUAUUAAUUUAUUAAUAAACUGUACUAUAAUAUAACUGGAUAUCACUUAUUAUACCAGGAUUAUUUUAGUAAAUUGUAGAUGUGUAUCAAUUAUACCCAAAUUUCUUUAAAAAUUACAAACAAAAUAAUCCUAAAUCGUAGACUUUACAAGUAAAACAUUUAAUUUACCGUUUUUUGUAACGGAAUUAAUUACAAGAAACUGUUAUUUUUAGUUUUGUCAUUUUUUCUAAAUUUUUAUAGAUUUAUUAUUUUUGAAUAUUUAGAAAUUAUAAUAAUAAUAUUGUGAAGGUUUAGAUGAUUGCACUACAUAGUAGACUAAUGAAAUGGACAUUCCAAUUUAAAACAAAUUGUAGUUUUAAAAACCAUAAAAUGGUGGUAACUUCCACAUUUAGUAUCCAAAUCCUCUAAUAAUUUUAAGUUCUAAAAAAAAAUGCUAGCACUAAAAACAAAAUAUAUACUGUAAGAAAAUUAAUGUCCAUAUUAAUAAAGCAAUAAGUGAUUCAUACUUAUUUAUGUAAUCCGUUUCUAUUUUGGACCGGUAUUCGCGGAAUAAUUUGUAAAAUUAAAUAAGAUAAAGGUUAGUUAAAGAUAAGAAAUGAAAUAGUAUAACUUUAGAUUGCUAAAUACAACCAAAAAAUUAAAAAUCUGUUUUCAACAAAAGUUUUUUUCUUUUUCUAAAUAGUUAUUACAGUGAUAGAACUAUUUAUUUACUGUUCCUACUAAGUAAGUACCAAACAAUAGCAUCUCAAGGGUUUGGUGCAGUGACCAAUACCGUAGUUUACGUACUUGCUGGGUCUCAAUUUCUUGGAGUAUGUUUGUUUUCUUCUUUCGUGUUGUCAAUGGAUACAACAGCAUUUUUCUUGUCUUUUACACAAAGACGAAACAAGUUUAUAAUGUCUUUGACAUUUACAACCAUUUCACACUACAUAAAAGUCUAUACCGAGAAGAAUGCUAUUUGCAUUUAGUUUUCUUGCCAUGUUUUUGUAACGUAUAUGCAUUUUCAUUAUUGUCUUCGUAGAAAAUUUUGGACAUUAGAUCAAAGACCUACGACAAAAAUAAGAAUCUCUCUAUCAAUAUUGGGGCUUAAAGCUAUCAACUCACACAAACAAAAAAUACUCUUAUAUUUUUUUUUAAGAAAAUAGGACUCUGAAUUGUGUGAUACGACUACUCGUAAUGUUCUCACUUAUUUCUAUUUCUUGAGCAAAACAAGAGAUUCUUACGAACAAUGCCAAUUUAUAAGGUAAAUUUUACGAAGAUAACAUUAUUGCUAAAAUCUUGUGAAUUUUUCAUUUUUGAACACUUAAUUUUUGUUUUUUACCAAUAUUUUUGUUAAAAUACAUAUUUUAUAACAAAUACUUUCUCUGUUUCACAUUGUAUGAUGUUUUAUAAUUUUUUUUUGUUUCUAAAAGAUUGAUUUUGUAGAUUAAAAAGUUAAAACUAAAAUUUUACUCUAUGUUUUUCUUUACGUGACAGUUAUCUAAUGAUUUAUAUUUUCUCUUUUUAUCAAAAUUUAAUUUAUAAAUAAAUAAUUAAUUUUAUUUUAAUAUGUGUGAAAAAACCCAAAGCAUCAACUUUUUAGAAUCCAAGAGAGUGUUAAACUUUAAAACCAAAUGGAAUCGAUUAAACUCAAAAAUAAUAGGUAAAACAUAUAUUAAUCAUAUUUUUAUAGCUUAAAAAUAAUAAAUACAUAAAAUUUUAGAUAAAAUGGCAAAAUCUAUAAAUCCCAUCAUGAAAAUAGCAAAUUUAUAAUUGAUUCUUAAAACGAGCAUUUGAGAAGAGUACUAAGUACAUUUCAAGGGAUAUUAUGCAUAUAUUUGGACGUGAUUCUUGAUUUCUAUAUUUAAAUAAAUCGAGGUUACAAAAGAUCUAGGCAGUGUCGUAUUUUUUUUUUUAUAAUCUAAGUGGACUUGCACUGUUUCACAUUGCUUUAGUUUUACUUUUUCUCAUCUUAAGAUAUUCUAGUUUAUAGUAUAAGAAAUAUUGAAAAAUAGCUACCGUCUCAAGUUCGUUCAUGAUGAUCAUUUAGACGUGAACCAUUUCUUCUUGGAUCUUUCUACUUAUAUUACAAGUUUGUAGGAUAUAUAUGUUUUUUGUUUUGGACAACUUAUGAUAUGUUAUUAUAUGAUCGGAAGAUCUCUUUAACAAAAAGAAAAGAUCAUAAGAUCUCAUUUGGAAUUUAUAAACUAAAUUUAUGGUUGUUAUUAUAAUAUAAGGUGAUAUUAUUAAAAUUCACAUAUACAAUCUAGCUUUACAGAGAAAGUGGUCAACGUAGACAUUUCUGGUAAACUUUUUUUUCUUCGAAAACAUGUGCAUGCAGCCCUCAACACAAACAAAGUCACUGGUUUUGUCUAAAUGAAGGAAACAUGUAUUAUCGUAAGUUUAUAAUGUGAAAUUUUAAGAAACAAAUGACUACAAUCAUGUGAAAAUGUAAUUUGAUCUCAAGAAUUUAUGCAUUGUAUUUGUAUCAUAUGUGUGUUUUGUAAACGCACAGAGUCAAAUAUGACGUGGAUUCCAUUGAAAGCAAAAAGAAGCUAGUAAGUAAACAUUUUCCACCAAUAUCUACAAAAAGUUUAUGGAAUCACUUUUCAAUUAUGAACCUCCACACCAGUCAUGUCUUGGCUCCCAAAAUUCACUUUUGUAUUUAAUAUUUAUAAUAUGACUAAACACAAAUUUGAUAAAAAGAAAUGUAUUCAAAAUGCUUUUAAAGUUAUAAAAUGUAUUCAGUAAUUUUAUACAUUGUUAAAAUUUAUUUCGAUAAUUUUUGUUUUUGAAAUCAUUUUGACGGUAGUUAGUCGAAAUUUGCAAAGCCAUAUCUUAGAGAUAGUUCAGAGAUAAAGCAAAUAACCAUAUAAUUCUGAUAAUGUAUAUAGCCUUUAAGGUUUACAUAUUUCAAUAUAAAAUUCUUCCUAGAAUGCUUUUACUUUAGUCAAUCAACUUUCUGGCUAUUUUUAUCUAAAUUUGGGUUAUAAUAUGUUGGGAGAUGAACUAGAUCGAUUAAGCCAAAUUAAGAUUGACCAUACAAUUACUUAGGAAUUUUUUUUCGUAAUUAGAAUUGAAUAAUAAUAAAAAGUUAAAAAAAAAAGUAUUGAACAUUUUUAGUUUAAUUGAAUUGUUAUUGUUUUAUGCGUAUUUAAUUACUACAUAAUGAAUUAUAAAAUAUUAUUAAUGAAUUAUAAAAUUAAUUAAGAAAUUAUUUAUUUAUUAAAAUAAAUUAGAACAGGAUAUUAACAUGUUCGAGUGUGGGAGACCUCCAUCUUAACAAAACAAUUAGAGGAGUAUAAAUUUGAAGUAUGAAAAUCGUUUAAAAAAUAAGUUUUAUCUUUUUAUUGUUUCUGAUAAUUUGCUUACAUGUAUCAUUCUCUUUAAUGUAAAAAAAAAAUAAAAAUUCUGAGGUUUCUAUCCUUGCUUGUUUCAAAUUUUUUUAAAGAUAAAAAAUAUUUUGUAGAAACUACGUAGUAAUUCAAUUAUAUUAAAUCUUUGUUAUACAUUCUGUGAUUUUAAACAAUUUAUUUUUAUAAAACAAUUUGAAAGAGUAAUUUUUCUGGGUUGAUAAAAGAGUUAAUUAAUGCCCACUUUUCCAGGAAAUGAAAAAGGAAGAAAAAGAAACAUGAACAUUCACUGGAUAUAGAAGUAAACAAGGAAAAUAAUAUCUCUAUUUUGGGUUUUUUUGAGCAAGCGUUAACAUCAUAAUAAUUACAAUCAUGAUGGUCAUAUUAAUGGGUAUCACAUGGUAAUAUAUUUAUUGGUUAUGUUCAUUAUAUUGAAAUGACCCUCGAGACUUUAACAUUAAAACAACAACUAAUCAUUAUUAGAAAAAAAAAUCAUAUUAAGUAAUAAUUUCAUUUUUUAUGCACACAUAUUAAAAAUUACAUAAAUUAUAUACUUUUUUUUUGUCUCGUCUAUAUGCAAACAAUGUAAUUAUAUUAAGUUUUUGCACACAUAUAAAAAUGUACAUAAACUUUUUUUGGUCUAAUCUAUAGUAAAACAGAAUAUUCAUAAAACCCCAUAUUAAAUAUAAAUAUUUACCUUAAACUGUUUUAAAUUAAAAUAUGUGUACAUUGGCAUUUACAAUGAUGGGAAAUUAGGGUCCAAAUAUAUAACUCAAAUUGGGCUGCAAAAUAGCUACAUUAUAUGUAACAAUCGUAAUCAAUCAUAUAAAACAAUUGACUAUGGGUUGUUCUGGCUAAUACUUUGGCCACAUAACAACAAAUGAUCAAUUCGACAAUACAUGUAAAUGCACACUGUGUUUUGGACUAGCAAAAGAAGAAUUAAGAAAUUUCUAAGUAAGUUUUGUUUUCGUUGCCAUCUUCUCAUUACCUAGUAACUUCUUGCUGUUUUCAGUAGUCACGUCCGUGGCAUACAAAUCAUUUUCUCAUGGUCAUGAGUCAUGACUCAUGUAUAUAUAAUACAUUCUCCUCAAAUAAUUCACUUUUAACAAAUUAUAUGCGAGAAAAUAGCAAAAGGUAACCCAAACUAUUUGCUGGCGGUAUUAUGAGACCCGGUAAAUAGCAAUUUAAACUUACAAAAAAUCAAAUUCCCAACUUAAAUUAUAUGAAAUCCGCCAAAAUCAACAUAUAUCGAAACAAUGUUAGUUAACUAUUUAACGGCGAUGAGUCAUCCGACUAAUCAAACAAGAGAGAAGGGUAAAAUUACUAAACCUAUCUUUCAAAAGACUAAACCCAAACAGGCGAUUGGGAAGAAAUUUUGUUGACUCCUCUCAAACGAUGUAACAUGAUUUGGUCCAGUGAAGACUUUAAGACAUUGAGGUUGACUCUUGCUCCCAAUAGUGGUGUUAUGUUUCCCCUAAUUAAAAACACUAAAAGAAAAAUCAAAUUCACAAAUAUAUAUAUAUAUAUGUAUAUAGUUAGAAAUUACAUGUAUAAUUAAUUUUUGUAAAUAGUAACAUAAAAAAAAUUCCAAGAUUUUAAGACAAUAUUAGAGUUGAGACGUAUAACGACUAGCUAUGGCCUAUGGUUAUGUUAAAAUUCGCAAUGGAUAUAGACUCAUUUCUUUUAUGAAAGUAGACAAAUGAUUCAUAUAUAUAAUCUGUAUCUACAAAAUAUAACAAAAUAGACUACGCAAAGUAUUGUGUGCCCUUUAAAACUCAAAAUUUAAUAAAUCACCUAUAUUUGGUAGUCAAAAUAAUAUAAUGUUUUAUACAAAUUAAAAACUCCGAUGAAUCGAUUACUCGACGAGUACACUCACCCUAAAAAAUUAGUCAUGUGGUAAAUAUCGAAAUUACUCUCUGUCUCUCUCUUUAUAUAUAUAUAUAAAUUUGUAAUAUUAAUUUGAGUUUUUUUUAGUUCAUCGUUGAAUACAUUUUCACAACAAAAACAAUGUAAUCCUAAAGUUUUUGAAAUAUUUGCAUAGACAGCUCAUUUUAUUAGUUCCACUUUUAUAUACACAUGAAGAUGUCUAUAAAUAUAUUAGCAAAAGGCCCACAUUAUCCAAAUCUAAGUAACGCGCAAUGAAUAUGAUCGUGUUGGCGAUUUGACAAACAUUAGAUUAUUCACUCACACUUAUUGGGUUUAAGGUUUGUGUCCGAAGCCACAUAAAUGGGAAGCAUUUGUUGUAUUUGUAUGAAGACAUAACACAAGACAUGAUGCUUUGCUUCCAUUUUAUUCAAUAUGAUUAAUCAUGAAAACUCAACUUUUUCUUGUUCACGCAUUUUUUUUUCUUUCUAAUUAAGUUCCUUAAUCACGAUAACAAGGCAAAAACCAAAUUGCAUAUUUUGUCGGCCAAUAAUUUCUCAUGAUGUUCUUAAAGUAAAAAAAAUAUUGUGAUAAUUAAUCCAAAUAUAGUUUGUAGGAAUCUUAACUAUAAAUAACAAAAAACAUAAAACCAACCGUUUUGGCAGUUAAAGAGGUAUCGAUUCUAUAGAAAUGACUUUAAGAGAAUCAUAUUGUACCUCUAUGUAAGAAAAUAUAUGCAUAAUGUUGUAUACCUUUGACUGACACUUUGAGUAAAGUGUUUAUUGGUUUUUUUUGAUGGAAUAAUUCACUCUCCAAUGUUAUAUAUUUAAUCUGAUGUAAUGGUACGAAAAUUAAAUAUAUAGUUUUGAUACAUUAUGUGAGAAAGGGUUUGCAUUAUAUAACCAUUUAAACAUAGUGAUUUUGGUGUCACUUACAUAAUCAAAGGUUUUAGACCUUCAGUUCAUAGUCUAUUUAGGUAAAAGAAUAACAGUAAAUAAAUUAUUUUCUGUGUUGUAAAUAGGAUUUGAAUCCAAGACACAAUCACACUUUUUUUUGCUAAUUUUUGUUUUUUGAGAGAUAAGAAAUAAAUUAAAGAAAACAAACUUGAACACAAUAAUUCAUAUAAAAUAAUUCUUACUCGAUUACCAGAACAAAAUGAAUAAUCAACCAAGUCUUGAGUAAAAUAUUUGAUAUAUUAUGUGUCGCGUAAGAGGAUGUGUCAAACAACACUCACAAGUUGUGUAGAAACAGAUACCUAUCAUAUGGUUAAAAAUAAUAUGUAAUUGUUCGCAUUUAACAAAUCUAGUAUUAUGUUGAAAUCUGAGUCUCCCAUAAUUAUCAAAAUGUUCAGAGGCUAAUAUUUUUUUGAUCAAGUGUCUGAGCAGAUUUUGGACGAUAUUUCGGUCAACUACAUCUUUUAAUAUAUGCUACAUUCUUUUUGGGUUAAUUGAAAACUGAAUUACAAUCCCCACACCAUCUUUGUUUCUCAAUUUUUGUGUUUAGGAUAGGCGAGUAAAUGUUGAUGACUCUAACAUUUGACAUUAUCUUAGCAGGUUAGGGUUUUCGAUUACCGUUUUCGGAAACAGAACUAGAACAGAGAUAAGCCAAACGAACAAGAAAACAAAACUAAAAACAUUAAAACCAAAGCUAAGCCGAUCCUCCCAACGCCAUUAACCUCCUAUCACAAGAAAUUAGAUAGUUGAGAUUUAAUCUUAUUUAUUUUAUAUUUUUAAAUCAUUUUUGGCAAGUGUGUGGAUAUAAUUUACACAUCAUUAAUAAUAAGACGUAUUAUAUGUAUUUCCCAUUAAGCACCAGUGUCCAAUGAAUCCUAUUUUAUUUUUUGGUUAAAUAGGAAGUAAUAUAAUUAGAUACAAUAAACGAUAAUGGUAAAAACUAGACAUUCAAUGAAUUAUUAAUUUUUCUUGCUUUGGCUAAAUAAUAAAAAUCUAUGUUGUUAAUAAUAUGCAAUAUGUAAAUUUGAAUUCUGAGGUGGUAAAGCAACACUAUUAUUAGUACAUAUCACUUUAGUAUAUGUCCAUAUGCCUUAUAUUAUUCUUAAUAUUAUUUAUUAUUUUUGUAAUAGAUGAUAUUAGCCCGGUGAUUACCAAAUUUCAUCAUAGUAGUUACAUAUAUAAAUAUUAUAGUAUUAUACUCGGAAAAAUUAAAACAAAGAUAUAACAUUUGUACAAAACUAGCUAGUAUUGUUAAUAUGGAUAGCUAUUUUCCCAAUAAAUGUGAGAUAAACGAUUUAAACUCGUGAAAUCUAACUAAAUGGAACUUUUUGAAUGCUAUGUGAAAAUAUAUUUUAUUUGUCCUAACUUUUUGUAUUGUUUGCAUAUAUUUUGUUAGAAACCGUGUGGGUUUCAUUUCAUUUAAAUAUUUUCAAAGGAAAAUUUCUAUCGACAAUUGGUCCAUCAUCCACCAUGUAUGAACUUUUUGGUGGGUCGUCAAUAUCAAAAUACAACCUUAUCAUUUUUUUCAAAGAUCUUUUAGAUUCUAAACGGUCAUUAUCAAACAAAAACAAAACAAAAAGAACCUAAAUUUAUGUUACUAUAAUUUCAUGUUACUAGUUAAUAUUGCGAAUAAAAACUCUAAAAGACUGUAACAGCCUAUACAAGUGGUAUUAUAUAAUUUCCAUUACUUUUAUCUCCCAAGAUAUCCUUUGUUAGAAAAGUGACAACUUAACAUUACAAAUUUUUAAAAUGGUAGAAAAUAACAGAUGUAAUAAAAUUAUUCAAUAUUCAUAUUUGUAAGUAAAUGUUGAUGUUUAUGUUUUUGAAUAAAUUCAUAUUUCUAGAAAAACAUUUUUCAUAUUAUCUAUACAUCAUUAAUCAAAAGAGAACAAACAGAAACCAAAAGAGAAGAAAAAUCAUAUGCCACAAAAAGGCCUACUAGAGCCUGUCUCGGCCCAUACACUGAAAAUGGGCCUAUGGAAAAUUAAUAAUUAAAAAUUAAAAAUGCGUCUGCCGGGAGUCGAACACGGGUCUAUUGCUUGGAAGGCAAUUAUCCUAACCGUUGGACUACAGACGCUUUUGUAUAAAAUUUGUUUAAUAUGUAAUAUACUUUAAUUUGCUUUUCAAUCAUAGAAUUAAACUAUUACAAUGCCUUUUUUUUUUUUUGAAUAAAUGUAAAAUUUUGUUCAGUCCAAAAAAGUCUUUUAACAUCAGAUGCAUCCUUAUUUUGAAAAAAUAAAUAAUAGCUAAAUAUUAUAAUUAAGAGUGAGUGUUAAACCAAACUUGAAGGCCAUCAGCAUAUUUGUGAGAGUGUUGUUGCAACAGUUAAAUUGAUUGUUUAGGUUGUUAAUAGUUUGAUCAACAUAGAAAAUGCAAGUAACGUUGGUGAUUAAAUUAACAAAAAAAUUAUCAUUGGUUUUUUUUUUUUGUACACAUAAAAAUUCAUACUAAUUACAAAAUUUUAUAUAAACAAGGACUCAACAACGAAAAACACAAAGCCGGAAUAUAUAAAAAAAACAACAUUACAAAAUAACAUCGUAAAACUGAGAUAGAACAAUUAAUGUAAAGAGCAUAUCACUCGAGAAGGAAGAUUCACAAUUCAAUAAGGUUUUUCUGUGAUGCCCUCCAUCUAAUCCAUAAAGGAAACAAGUUAUAAACAUGUCCACAAGAUUUAAAAAAAGAAGUAAAAACCAUGAUUAGUAGUUAAAUUUAAUUAAUUUCAUUACUAAUACCUUGAUCAUAGCCAAAAGAGACACUAACUCAGAUACUAUAUCAUCAUCUUACUAUGGUUGAAUUUGGUAACAUGAAAAAUAUUAUUAGUUUCAGUUUCCAUCCAAAUGGUUGAAUGAGCUUUUACUGAUAUUUGUCUUUUGUGGUUCAUUAUGUAAUCAAAUAUUUGAAUAUUAUGCAACCAUUAUAGUUAGUAAACACAUAUUUACACGAAAAUCCUUUAAUUAUUAUAUAUUUUGUUUUGAAAUCUUAAAUUUGAACCUAUAUUAUAUAUUUGCUAUUUUUUAUAUUGGCAUAGAUUUUACUUAUGUUUUGCCUAGUUUUUGUUAUAUUUUUUUUCUCCUUUUAUUUUAGUACUUUUAACAGUUAUAAUCUAUCAAUAGAGUUAUAGUAGUAACUAAAAACAGUUUAUUCUUACAAGGCAUCAGAAAGAGAGAAAAAAAACUUAAUUUUAUGUUUUAUAUUUAAUCGUAUAUUUCAAAUUUUAUGAUCAAUCUAAAGAACAAUUAGUGGUUAUUGUUGGUUUGCUAGUCGAGGUCAUAUUUUGAGGUGUUUUCACUAGUAUAUAAAUUUCCUAUUACUAGGAAACGAAAGCUAAGCAAUUUUAACUUACAUGGGUGCCAAAAAUAAACACCUGGUGGAUCCCUAUGUACUUAUGAAGUUAUGAACCAACGUGAGCCGAACCUCAUAGACACCCAUAUCCCAUGUAGUUGAACCAGUCCAAGAAAUGUGCAUAUCCCAAAGGAAAUCUGUAGAACAAAAAACAAAAUUUGAAUCUAAAUUAACUCAUGUUUUUAUUUUCCAAAAUCUGUAUUAGAAUAAAAGAUUUACAAACAUAAAUAUGUUUUGUAAAUCUCAUGUUUUGGAUUUUACAUUAUAUAUGUGAAAACAUUGUUUUUGACAACUUGAUAGAACAGAUAUGGGAGCCAUUAACAACUUUGCUUCUCAUGGACUCGGUUAACAUUGUGAUCUUCUUACCAUUUUCUUGUUUUUGAUUUUUUUUUUCCUGGAAUUAUUGUUAUUUCAGACCUAAGUAUCAAGUUGUUUUAUUUUUGAACAACUCCAGUUAUCAUUCAAAUUUAAUUUAAACUUAUUAACUUACUUGCGUACAUUAGUAAAAUGAUGGAACAAUACCAAUAUAUAUAAGAUAAGUGUUACCGAUACCUUAUAGAAAGCUACAAAGUUUAUGAAGAAUUUCUAUAAUAAAUUAAUAAGAAGAUAACUAAAUUCAUCAGGUCAGUGAUAAUUAGUUAAAGUUUUUAAGCAAAAAUUACAUAUACAUCACUCGAAAUAAAGAUAAAUAUUGGAGUGCAUGUCCAUAAGCGAACCUUAAGCACCAUGUUGAAAAAUUGAUCUUUCAUUUUAAAAGAUUUAAUCAAUAAAGUUUUGCCUUAUAACAAUACAUGAGAAAAAUCAAUUGAAAAAAACUGACAUGGAAAGGAGUCAUAUAAUUUUAGUUUUGCCAACCAACUUGACUCUAAUAAGAUAAAAGAUGGGUUACAAAUUUGGUUUGAUCCAAAAAACUUAAGUGCUAGAAGACUUUUGGUUUUUCAAUCUUCUUUGAAAUAUGAACAUAUAUAAUUCUCCAUUCAUUUUUUUUCGAAAAAGGUUAAAAUGCAUCAAGUAUACCAAAUAGUCUCAUGUAGUCUCUAGCCAACAAAUACAUGAGAAAAAUCAUUUUCUUAUUUUUCCCAACUCCUUUUUGCUUUUGAGAGCCGUUGCCACAAAACGAACCAUACUCCAAAACCUACUUUUAAAAAUCACUUUCUCUUCUUUUCAUUGUUUUUUUCUCUUUGGCUCUUGCUUCUUCGUUUCCCUCCAACUUUUCUCUUUUUCACUAUCUCUCAAUUUUCAAAAAAAGAAUCUUCUUCUUUGUUUUUGAAGUUCGAACAAAAUGUAUAUGCACUUUUAUUUACUUUGUUUUCAAUUUUGACACUACUCUUGUUGUUUCUUUAGUUGUAUGAAAUUUCUAGUAUCAAGAAACUGAGAGGAGGAUGAUGAAAAGAUCUCCAUUUAGUUACAAGAUGAGGCAUAGUCUCUCUGAUAUCACUAACUCUCAGCCUCACCAAGAGCUUAAUACUGGUUUCGAAUCACGUGAACACGUAAACCGGCUAAUGAAGGUUACUUUCUUCUCAUCCUUGUUUUCCUCUAAAUUCUCUUCAAUUCUUUUUUCCAUUGACUAAACUCGAUUUCGACAGGAGAAUAUAGCAUUGGUUAAGCUUCUUGAGGAUAGAGAGUAUCCUUUUGUUCUAUGUAGCUUCAGUUUUUGGUAAUUCAAGAAAAUAUCAUUUUUUUUCUUUAACUAUAAUAGUAAAACGAUUGAGCUAAGUAGAUAUGAAUUGCGGAAUCUACGCGAAGGCAUGCACAAUUUGCAAGUACAAAAUCUGAGCCUUGCACAAUCCAAUUCCCAAUUCGUAGGCGUAAGAUUCAUCGUCCCUUUCGUUUUCUUGAUUUUCUUUUCGGUAUAUUGAGUCUGAUCAUUAAAGGUUUUGUUUGCAGGAGAUCAAUUUAGCCAGAACCAAGGUGAAAUGAAACCACAAACUCUCUCUGGUCAUUUGUUUUUGGGGUUGCAUUGCUUUGUCUAAGAUUUUAUAAUGUCUCAGGUGAAAGCAUUGCACCAUGAGGUUAACUGCAAAAAUGCUCUGCUUAAGGCUAAAUUUUGGGAACAAGAGGUUUGAACAUGUUUUGUCGUUUCUCUUAUUCAUUUUAAAGUAAACUAAAGUUGGAUAUGUCAUAUGUGUUGACAUUUAUUAAAACAGAGAGGUGAAAAAACACAACCAAGAAAUGCACUAUCAACUGAGAAGGUGAUAAAUACAUCGGACGAAGACUCAUCAUUAGAGACACCAUCACCGAGACCUUUUGUACCAAAUAGAAGGCGAUUCAUCAGAAGCAAAUGUAUAUACAUUUUCUUGUUUAGCCUAUAACUAUUGUCACUACAUUCAUUUCUUUUUGAUUGAUAAUUCUAUAUACAUCUUGAUGGUUUUAUUUACAGCCAUAGGAGCAUCUACUACACACAAGAUUGAGGCAGAAAAGGAGAAAUCUGAAACCAAAAGGUUUUCACUUAAACCCUUUAAAUUCAUGUUUCGCUACGCGAUAUGGAGUCUUGAUCGUUAUGUUACAGGAGGCGGUCAAGAAGGAGAACAGCUAGAGUGAGAUCAGCAACGUACGAAGAAACAGAGAAUCUAUUUGAGAUUGAAGAUCUUGAGCUUACUAUGCCACCUAAUGAGAUAUGUCGACAAGAUAAACCGAAAAUGGCCUCGCAUACUCGAAAGAAGGAAGAUUUACGAGCAAUACAUCAAGAUUGUAAGGUCCAUAAAUCACCAGUCGAUCAACCAUUGCGUAGAGCAGCUGAGAAGAUACAUCCUUAUAUGUCGUUCGUUACUAAUAUGAGAAGGUCCUAAUACAUUGGUAGAGAAAAUGUUUGUAAUGCGACCGUUUUGUCUUGAGAGUUACUAGCUACCAAUCUCUAGACACAUUUGUACUUAUUGGUACGAAAUUUCACUAACAUAUUUAUUGAUAUGACCUUAGAACUUCGUUAAUUAUCAAGGUGGUGACUUACCUUGUGUAUAUGUUGGACUUAGCCUGUUGGCCCCUUGGGUUUAAUUUCAAUUAAUUUAUGGCCAAAAGUAUACUAGACUUAAUUUCAGUUAAUUUAAUUUAAACAAAAGUAUACUAGAAAUUUCAUUUCUUUGAAUUCAACAAACUAAUUUUAAGAAAAUAAGUGUUGGUUUACUUUGAUCUCUCAUGCAUUUUGUAACUUUGUUUGUAUGAGAGUUCUACAAUUUUUCCGACAUCUUCUGUGUUCAAAGGACAAUGAAUGAAGUUCAUCAUUAUAAAUCGAAAGACAAUAGUUUUUCAUCAAUUUUUUUUAUGAUUUUUAUAUAUGUACUAUAUAAAAUAGUUUAGUUGGUAGGCGAUAACUUUUCAAUGUAUAGUCACAUUUUUUUUGUAUCUAAUAGUGUACAAAAAAAAUUAUACAGUGGGAUACAUCAUCUAUUUAAGACACACGAUUUCAUUGUUCUAAAGCAUAGCAACAUGAGUUUGUUUUGGAUAAUAGGAUUGUGGGUUAUAGCCUUAGUGGUUUUGAGGAUUGGACAUUGGUGGUACCGAUGGUCCAACCCUAAAACUAAUGGCAAGUUACCUCCGGGAUCAAUGGGUCUUCCCAUCAUCGGAGAGACAUUCGAUUUCUUUAAGCCUCAUGGAUUUUAUGAGAUCAACCCAUAUCUCAAGAAAAAGAUGUUGAGGUCAGAUUUUACUUUCUCUCUAUAUCUAUACACAAUUUAUAUAUAGGUUAUUUAUGUGUGUUGUAAAUUUGUAAUGAAUGUCUUAGGUAUGGGCCUUUGUUUCGGAAGAACAUUCUUGGAGUAAAAACCAUUGUUUCGACGGAUAAGGAUGUUAACAUGGAGAUUUUACGACAAGAGAACAAGUCGUUCAUUUUAAGUUACCCGGAUGGUUUGGCGAAGCCAUUGGGAAAAGAUAGCUUGUUCUUCAAGAUAGGAAACAUCCACAAGCACAUGAAACAACUAACCCUUCGUCUAUUGUCCUCCGAGGGUUUGAAGAGGAAAAUAUUAAAAGAUAUGGACCGCGUAACACGAGAGCAUCUUCGUUCUAAUGCUAGCAAAGGAAGAUUCGACGUUAAGGAAGCAGUUUCAAGUGUACACAUAGUCUAUCUUUUUACCAUUUUUCUUAAUGUUGGAAUUAGUCUCACACUCUUUAGUCUCUUUUUUAAUCUUUGUAGUUGAUAAUAGCCCACUUGACACCAAAGAUGAUAAGUAAUCUCAAACCAGAGACUCAAGAAAAGCAUAUGGGAAAUUUCAAGGCCUUUAGUUUUGAUUGGUUUCUAACAUCCUAUAUCAUCUCUGCUGGGAGGGGUCUUUACAAUACUAUUUGGGUGCGUUUGUUUCUUUCUUUUGUUAGCAUUCUCGAGAAAGUAACUAAGUAACUAACUAUAAUGUUCUAAGCAGGCAUGUAAAGAAGUAAUCCAAGGGAUAAGGGAUAUCUACGCGAGGAGAAGAACAUCAAAUGAGAAGUACGAUGACUUCCUCAACACGGCAAUAGAGGAGUUAGAGAAAACAGGAGGAUUAGUGAACGAAGCUGCAAUUGUAGCCCUCAUCUUAACUCUUUCAUGUAUCACUCAAGAUACUACAUCUAAGGCCACUUGCUUGGCUGUGAAAUUCUUAUCGGAAAACCCUAAAGUUCUCGCAGAGUUAAAGGUAAUAAUGCAUAUGGAUGAUGGAGUGAUAAGCUAGUAAAAUAAAUAUGAAAGUGAUAGUAGUAAUGGUUCAAGAUCUUUUUGCAUGUGUCUAUGAAGAAUUUGGCAGAAAGAGCAUGAGGCAAUCCUUGAAAGCAGAGACGACAAAGAAAAUGGAGUUACUUGGGAAGAAUAUAGACACAAGAUGACUUUCACCAACAUGGUACCUUUAGUUUACUAAUAUAUGGCUAAGACAAAAUUUUUAUCAGAUUAGGUAUAUACUCACUUGACACUUUAUCUACACUUCCUAGGUUAUCAAUGAGUCCCUUCGGAUAACGAAUCUGGCUCCUAUGAUGUUUAGAAAAGCGGUGAAAGAUGUCGAAAUCAAAGGUAAAUAGUACUUAGGUACUCAUUUGACACUACGAAAAUUGUAUAUAUAUUACAAACAAAUGAUGUUAAUACAUUUGUGGACAUCUUUGUAUCAACAGGAUACACGAUUCCAUCAGGUUGGAUAGUAAUGAUUAUACCUUCAGUGGUUCAUUUCGAUCCUGAAAUCUAUGAAAACCCUUUUGAGUUUAAUCCAUGGAGGUGGGAGGUAUUGCACACUAGCUAACUUUAGUCUACAUAUUUUAUGUUUUAUUAGUUGUAACAUUUUAUAUACAUUAUGUUGAUGAUAAAUCUGGUGUACAGGGGAAAGAGCUGCGGUCAGGGUCGAAAACUUUCAUGGUGUUUGGAACUGGAGUUAGGCAGUGCGCUGGUGCAGAGUUUGCUAGGCUUCAGAUUUCAAUUUUCCUUCAUCAUCUUGUCACCACUUACAACUUCUCGUUAUCCCAAGACUGUGAGGUUGUUCGUGUACCUGGUGCUCAUCUUCCCAAAGGCAUCUCUAUAAACAUCUCCAAGUGUGCCAAAUAACUUUGAAUCAAAGACAUUGCCUUAUCAAUUCACACCAUUGGUAAAAAUAAAUGUGAAUUUAAUACCUUAUGUACUUGUUUGUCCCACACCCUGUGUAAGGAUUGUCGUGAAAUGUAAUAGUUUUUAAAAAUAUAUUGUUAUAUUGUUAUAAAAUAUAUAGUAUUAAUAUUAUAAGACCUUUCUAUAAAAGAACGUGCUAUUAUAUUUAUAGCAUGCCAUAUCUCGUCGUGACUUGUAACUUUGGAGAAGAAGAGACCAUGAUUAACGGGAUAGUCUUACUUGUUUCUUAUAUAUUUUGAUGAUUAAAAUUAAAUGAUUAAUAAUGUUAAAUGGUAAGAAACGUUUCUUGGUCAAGAGUUAAUAUUAACCUUAAGAGACGCAUACGUGUCAAUUUCUUAGUGGUUGAAGAAGAAAAGAAAAAAAAGUGGAGAAAAAGCUUCUUCUUCUCUCUCUCGCAUGUCUCUCUCCCCAAAGCUGAACUUGUCAUCUUCUACUUCACAUUUUUUUUUGUCAUCUGAUGAUAUUGAUAAUACUUGGAAAGAUACAACAUGAAAUACAAACUAAGCCGGCGGAAAACAAAGAUAUCCCCGGAGUCUAAAGCCCAAACAAGGGAAACUAAGCCGGCGAACAAAGGAAAGUCCCCGGAAACUACAACUAAUCAAUAGAAACAACUAAAAAUACAAAACAAAAGAUUGAAAGCCAACAACAAAAGAGAUCAACACCAAAAACUAAGAACAAGGCAAACAAUAACCAACCGAAGAUAAGCACGAGAUCUAAGCCACCAACACGAUCUUUUCUUUUGAAGUCACUGUGAAUGAGAACAAUCAAUGCUGCCCACGGCCAACCCAUCGAUAACAACUGCUUCCUCCUAUCACAAAGAGAGAAGAACUCUCGAAACCAAGGCUUCAUAAUCUGGCAAGUAAAGGCCUAAAACAGAACCCCAUAAAACACUUCCAAAUACGGCGAAGACGACAUCGUCAAAUAACGCCUAGAUAAAAGCCAUAAACAAGCAAUCCGACAUCCUCCAGAUUCGGAAACGCAAGAGACAAGGAGCGAAACAUAACCACCUCAAUGAAUUUCGAAAAACUAAACUCAUUAUCAGAAGUUAUCAUCACCAGCAACUUCCACCCAAGAGCAGAACGAAAAGAAGCCAAAGAGACAAGAACAAACUUCACACAACAAAGGCCUCUUCUUAGAAAGGAGAUGAUCUAAAGGGGAAAACCAUAAGCUAAAACUAGGCAAUAAGGAUGAAUAGAGGGACAAGGCAAUGUGAAGACUGAUUACAAUACUUACACAAACCAAACCAGCGGCAUCAAAACAACAUGAAGAACAAGAGCUAGAACUGAUCAAGGUUGUGAGAAAAUAACAAAACAGUGGCUAACCCGAUGAUCACAGACCCGGGACCAACCUCACAAGAGCCACAAACCACACAGAUCCUAAGUGCUAAACCGCUCCCCCUAACACCCAAAAUCACAACCCGUUUAAACUAAAGAGAAUCCCAAUUGAACGCCAUCAACAACAUUAAACUAACCCACAAAACUAAAGUAAAGGAAAGGAAAAGAAGAGGGAGACCGAAGCCGGUGCUAAAAGAGCCACCGCACUCCGGUCUCAAGUCUGAGUUUUCUCGGCGGCGGCUAGGGUUACACGAGAGAGAGAGAGAGCGACCUUUGGUUUUUUUUUUCUUUUGUAUUGUAUAUUUGUUGAUCUUC